AGUGAACGCUGGCGGUAGGCCUAACACAUGCAAGUCGAACGGCAGCACAGUAAGAGCUUGCUCUUACGGGUGGCGAGUGGCGGACGGGUGCGGAAUACAUCGGAAUCUACUUUUUCGUGGGGGAUAACGUAGGGACACUUACGCUAAUACCGCAUACGACCUACGGGUGAAAGCAGGGGAUCUUCGGACCUUACGCGAUUGAAUGAGCCGAUGUCGGAUUAGCUAGUUGGCGGGGUAAAGGCCCACCAAGGCGACGAUCCGUAGCUGGUCUGAGAGGAUGAUCAGCCACACUGGAACUGAGACACGGUCCAGACUCCUACGGGAGGCAGCAGUGGGGAAUAUUGGACAAUGGGCGCAAGCCUGAUCCAGCCAUGCCGCGUGGGUGAAGAAGGCCUUCGGGUUGUAAAGCCCUUUUGUUGGGAAAGAAAAGCAGCAGGUUAAUACCCCGCUGUUCUGACGGUACCCAAAGAAUAAGCACCGGCUAACUUCGUG
RNAcentral lists this ribosomal RNA (492 nucleotides) under uncultured bacterium. Its description in RNAcentral is "partial 16S ribosomal RNA". It matches the Rfam family "Bacterial small subunit ribosomal RNA", at positions 29 to 507 of the family's 1533-position model. The record is from RNAcentral.